RNAcentral lists this ribosomal RNA (526 nucleotides) under uncultured bacterium. RNAcentral's name for it is "bacterial SSU rRNA". It matches the Rfam family "Bacterial small subunit ribosomal RNA", at positions 8 to 521 of the family's 1533-position model. The record is from RNAcentral.
AGAGUUUGGAUCCUGGCUCAGGAUGAACGCUAGCUACAGGCUUAACACAUGCAAGUCGAGGGGCAGCAUGGUUUCAGCUUGCUGAGACUGAUGGCGACCGGCGCACGGGUGAGUAACGCGUAUCCAACCUGCCCUUUACUCCGGGAUAGUCUCCUGAAAGGGAGUUUAAUACCGGAUGUGUUUGUCUUUCCGCAUGGGAGCGACAAAUAAAGAUUAAUUGGUAAAGGAUGGGGAUGCGUCCCAUUAGCUAGUUGGCGGGGUAACGGCCCACCAAGGCGACGAUGGGUAGGGGUUCUGAGAGGAAGGUCCCCCACAUUGGAACUGAGACACGGUCCAAACUCCUACGGGAGGCAGCAGUGAGGAAUAUUGGUCAAUGGGCGUAAGCCUGAACCAGCCAAGUAGCGUGAAGGAUGACGGCCCUACGGGUUGUAAACUUCUUUUAUAAGGGAAUAAAGUGCGUUACGUGUAAUGUUUUGUAUGUACCUUAUGAAUAAGCAUCGGCUAAUUCCGUGCCAGCAGCCGCGGU